UCAAGCGAACAAGUGCAUGUGGUGGAUGCCUUGGCGAUCACAGGCGAUGAAGGACGCGGUAGCCUGCGAAAAGCCCCGGGGAGCUGGCAAACAAGCUUUGAUCCGGGGAUGUCCGAAUGGGGAAACCCACUCCUUAUGGAGUAUCCAUGACUGAAUACAUAGGUCAUGUGAAGCGAACGCGGUGAACUGAAACAUCUAAGUAACCGCAGGAAAAGAAAUCAACCGAGAUUCCCAAAGUAGUGGCGAGCGAAAUGGGAUGAGCCUUGUACUCUUUAUUUGUAUUGUUAGCCGAACGCUCUGGAAAGUGCGGCCAUAGCAGGUGAUAGCCCUGUAGGCGAAAACAGUAUGAAAGAACUAGGUGUACGACAAGUAGGGCGGGACACGUGAAAUCCUGUCUGAAGAUGGGGGGACCAUCCUCCAAGGCUAAAUACUCGUGAUCGACCGAUAGUGAACCAGUACCGUGAGGGAAAGGCGAAAAGAACCCCGGGAGGGGAGUGAAAUAGAUCCUGAAACCGCAUGCAUACAAACAGUCGGAGCCUCUUUAUGGGGUGACGGCGUACCUUUUGUAUAAUGGGUCAGCGACUUACGUUCAGUAGCAAGCUUAACCGUAUAGGGCAGGCGUAGCGAAAGCGAGUCCGAAUAGGGCGUUCAGUUGCUGGGCGUAGACCCGAAACCAGGUGAUCUAUCCAUGGCCAGGAUGAAGGUGCGGUAACACGUACUGGAGGUCCGAACCCACUAACGUUGAAAAGUUAGGGGAUGAGCUGUGGAUAGGGGUGAAAGGCUAAACAAACCUGGAAAUAGCUGGUUCUCUCCGAAAACUAUUUAGGUAGUGCCUCGUGUCUCACCUUCGGGGGUAGAGCACUGUCAUGGUUGGGGGGUCUAUUGCAGAUUACCCCGCCAUAGCAAACUCCGAAUACCGAAGAGUGCAAUCACGGGAGACAGACAUCGGGUGCUAACGUCCGGUGUCAAGAGGGAAACAACCCAGACCGCCAGCUAAGGUCCCCAAAUAUGGCUAAGUGGGAAACGAAGUGGGAAGGCUAAAACAGUCAGGAGGUUGGCUUAGAAGCAGCCACCCUUUAAAGAAAGCGUAAUAGCUCACUGAUCGAGUCGUCCUGCGCGGAAGAUGUAACGGGGCUAAGCCAUAUACCGAAGCUGCGGAUGCGUGCUUGCACGCAUGGUAGGAGAGCGUUCCGUAAGCCUGCGAAGGUGCCUUGUAAAGGGUGCUGGAGGUAUCGGAAGUGCGAAUGCUGACAUGAGUAGCGAUAAAGGGGGUGAAAGGCCCCCUCGCCGUAAGCCCAAGGUUUCCUACGCAACGUUCAUCGGCGUAGGGUGAGUCGGCCCCUAAGGCGAGGCAGAAAUGCGUAGCUGAUGGGAAGCAGGUCAAUAUUCCUGCACCGUCGUUAGAUGCGAUGGGGGGACGGAUCGCGGAAGGUUGUCCGGGUGUUGGACGUCCCGGUCGCUGCAUUGGAGAAGGCGCUUAGGCAAAUCCGGGCGCAGGAUUCAAGGGUGUGGCGCGAGCGACUUCGGUCGCGAAGCAAUUGGAAGUGGUUCCAAGAAAAGCCUCUAAGCUUCAGUCUAACGAUGACCGUACCGCAAACCGACACAGGUGGGCGAGAUGAGUAUUCUAAGGCGCUUGAGAGAACUCGGGAGAAGGAACUCGGCAAAUUGGUACCGUAACUUCGGGAUAAGGUACGCCCUUGUAGCUUGACUGGCCUGCGCCAGGAGGGUGAAGGGGUUGCAAUAAACUGGUGGCUGCGACUGUUUAAUAAAAACACAGCACUCUGCAAACACGAAAGUGGACGUAUAGGGUGUGACGCCUGCCCGGUGCCGGAAGAUUAAAUGAUGGGGUGCAAGCUCUUGAUUGAAGUCCCGGUAAACGGCGGCCGUAACUAUAACGGUCCUAAGGUAGCGAAAUUCCUUGUCGGGUAAGUUCCGACCUGCACGAAUGGCGUAACGAUGGCCACACUGUCUCCUCCCGAGACUCAGCGAAGUUGAAGUGUUUGUGAUGAUGCAAUCUACCCGCGGCUAGACGGAAAGACCCCAUGAACCUUUACUGUAGCUUUGCAUUGGACUUUGAACCGAUCUGUGUAGGAUAGGUGGGAGGCUAUGAAACCGGAACGCUAGUUUCGGUGGAGCCGUCCUUGAAAUACCACCCUGGUUUGUUUGAGGUUCUAACCUUGGUCCGUGAUCCGGAUCGGGGACAGUGCAUGGUAGGCAGUUUGACUGGGGCGGUCUCCUCCCAAAGGGUAACGGAGGAGUACGAAGGUACGCUAGGUACGGUCGGAAAUCGUGCUGAUAGUGCAAUGGCAUAAGCGUGCUUAACUGCGAGACCGACAAGUCGAGCAGGUGCGAAAGCAGGUCAUAGUGAUCCGGUGGUUCUGUAUGGAAGGGCCAUCGCUCAACGGAUAAAAGGUACUCUGGGGAUAACAGGCUGAUACCGCCCAAGAGUUCAUAUCGACGGCGGUGUUUGGCACCUCGAUGUCGGCUCAUCUCAUCCUGGGGCUGUAGCCGGUCCCAAGGGUAUGGCUGUUCGCCAUUUAAAGAGGUACGUGAGCUGGGUUUAAAACGUCGUGAGACAGUUUGGUCCCUAUCUGCCGUGGGCGUUGGAUAUUUGAAGGGGGCUGCUCCUAGUACGAGAGGACCGGAGUGGACGAACCUCUGGUGUACCGGUUGUGACGCCAGUCGCAUCGCCGGGUAGCUAUGUUCGGAAGAGAUAACCGCUGAAAGCAUCUAAGCGGGAAACUCGCCUUAAGAUGAGAUAUCCCUGGAGGCUUGACCUCCUUGAAGGGUCGUUCGAGACCAGGACGUUGAUAGGUCGGGUGUGUAAGCGCAGUAAUGCGUUCAGCUAACCGAUACUAAUUGCCCGUAAGGCUUGAUCCU
Molecule: ribosomal RNA, 2880 nt
Filed under: Burkholderia multivorans
Lineage: Bacteria; Pseudomonadati; Pseudomonadota; Betaproteobacteria; Burkholderiales; Burkholderiaceae
Description: bacterial LSU rRNA
Rfam family: Bacterial large subunit ribosomal RNA
Source: RNAcentral